CUCCCUGGUGAGUUAGUAGUCAGGCUGACUUCCUGCUCUCAGCUGUGGGCCACAACUGACAGUCUGGAAGCCUUUGAGGAGAGCAAGGGACCAGAGCUCACUCUCCUAGGCCCCAGGCAAGAGGAGCAGCUUCAGCAACAGGAUGUCCACAGAACAGCAGGACCCAGGGAAUUUCUUUAAAGAUAUAUUCCUGCACUUCAAAGCACAUAGAGUGAAGAUUUCAUUUGCAAUAAAAACGCCAUUUCCUUUUUUUGAGAUCCUCCGUGACACUGAGCUCAUCACCGAGAAAAUGUAUGAUGAUUUUACAGAUUCCUGUAUGAACCGGGUCCCUGUAAAAAAAGUGGUCUACAGAGCCCUGGAAGUACUGGAGAAGAGAUUUGACCUAGAGGUUCUGAGGGUACUGUUCAGUGAAGAAAACAUGAAGGCAUACCCUGAUUUGGAAUUCUUUGCCAGAAGUUUUGAAAAUGUCUCACAGAACAAAUUGUGUUUCCAUGGAAGUGAUAGAAGGUCCCCGAAUUCCCAGCUAUGUCUUGAACAAGGAACUGGUGACAGCUGUUCUGAAGAAAGCCUGACUUAGUCACCCUCAGAUCCCUCCUCAUCUGAUGGCUGGAGAAAUAAUGAUAGAAGAAAUACCACACUCAUCCAGGGAAAUCAAACUGAGAACCAUCAAUCCUCCGGCUUCCAGAUUGACAAUGGUAUAACGCAAUAAUGUUUAUUUCUUUAUUCCAUGACUCGUCUUUGGAAACACAUCCCUGGCACUUUGGAAGUGUUACUAUGUGACUUUCAGAGGGGAUGUGUCAUUUAAGAAGAGAUUUCUUAAUAUUAACACAAUAUUUUUAAAUGCUUUCAAAGGUUUAUUUAUUUUUGUUUUAUGUGUGUACAUGUUGUCUGCAUUUAUGUAUAUGUACCAUGUGUGUCCCUGGUGCCCUCAGAGGCCAGAACUGGAAUUAUAAAGAGUUGUACACCUCCAUAUGGAUUCUAGAAACCAUACCCAGGUCCUCUAGAUGAGCAGUAAGUGCUCUUAAGCACUGUGACAGCUCUCCAGACACCAACUGCCCACCACACACACACACACACACACACACACACACACACACACACACACACACACAAACUCUGGAAAAAAAUCUUUCCAGAGUGACUUUUGAAAUAAUUGUUAUGCAUCUUAAAAUCUUUCAUUCAAAAAAUUUUAACAUUUGAAAACAGCAAUAUACAAGAGUCUGUAUUCUUAAUUGUUCCUCUGCAGGUGCAGCGUGUGAGGAUGAGAAGCAGUGAAUGGGUGGGAUUGUUAGUGCUAAACAGUAGAAAGGGACCCGGUGGGGAGGAGGGAUGCAGGAGAAAUAGGUGAGUUCUUUGUGAGUCUGUGGUCUGGAGAAACCCUAUCUGGAAAUGGCACCCUAAUGAUGCCAGUGACAGGGAUGGAUGAAUAUACAGAAAUAUAAACCAACAUCCAGAUGGUUCACAGGUGAACACUUAGACAUCAAUGUACAUGUCCAAUAGUCUGACCCAGCAGAGACAAUGACUGUGAUGCACACAAACGAGGCUAGAGCUGUAAACAUGCCCAGGACCCCAAAAGGUCUGGGAUCUAACCACUACUGAUUGUAACAAAGUGUGCACCCAGAUCCACAUCCCAUGUUAAAGGUUCUAUAAUUAAUUUUUCAAUUAUUGGAACUUAACUCUGUGUAGAAAAUAUUAAAUGAAAAACAUGAAACUGUA
RNA transcript from Peromyscus leucopus (white-footed mouse), 1716 nucleotides. It is a transcript of the gene named nuclear autoantigen Sp-100-like, with no coding region annotated. The transcript is spliced from 6 exons. NCBI's taxonomy places the organism in Eukaryota, Metazoa, Chordata, Mammalia, Rodentia, Cricetidae. The record is from RefSeq and is a predicted model, not a curated record.